CCUACGGGAGGCUGCAGUGGGGAAUAUUGGACAAUGGGCGAAAGCCUGAUCCAGCCAUGCCGCGUGUGUGAAGAAGGCCUUCGGGUUGUAAAGCACUUUCAGUGGGGAAGAAAGCCUUGGGGCUAAUACCCUCGAGGAAGGACAUCACCCACAGAAGAAGCACCGGCUAACUCCGUGCCAGCAGCCGCGGUAAUACGGAGGGUGCGGGCGUUAAUCGGAAUUACUGGGCGUAAAGCGCGCGUAGGCGGUCUGAUAAGCCGGUUGUGAAAGCCCCGGGCUCAACCUGGGAACGGCAUCCGGAACUGUCAGGCUAGAGUGCAGGAGAGGAAGGUAGAAUUCCCGGUGUAGCGGUGAAAUGCGUAGAGAUCGGGAGGAAUACCAGUGGCGAAGGCGGCCUUCUGGACUGACACUGACGCUGAGGUGCGAAAGCGUGGGUAGCAAACAGGAUUAGAUACCCGGGUAGUC
Molecule: ribosomal RNA, 465 nt
Filed under: Vreelandella stevensii
Lineage: Bacteria; Pseudomonadati; Pseudomonadota; Gammaproteobacteria; Oceanospirillales; Halomonadaceae
Description: partial 16S ribosomal RNA
Rfam family: Bacterial small subunit ribosomal RNA
Source: RNAcentral